Molecule: microRNA precursor, 66 nt
Organism: Caenorhabditis elegans
Lineage: Eukaryota; Metazoa; Nematoda; Chromadorea; Rhabditida; Rhabditidae
Source: Ensembl
AGACUACAAACUACAUCAUUUUCCAUCUCUUUGGUGAGGCUAGAAAAUUUGUAGUUUGUAGUGAGA